RNAcentral lists this ribosomal RNA (644 nucleotides) under Xylotrechus grayii. Its description in RNAcentral is "eukaryotic LSU rRNA". It matches the Rfam family "Eukaryotic large subunit ribosomal RNA", at positions 88 to 629 of the family's 3401-position model. The record is from RNAcentral. Lineage: Eukaryota; Metazoa; Arthropoda; Insecta; Coleoptera; Cerambycidae.
UGCGAGCGAACAGAGAAGAGCCCAGCACCGAAUCCCGCGGCCGAUAUCGGACGCCGGGAAAUGUGGUGUUAGGGAGGAUCCGUUUAUCCCGAGGUCGUGCGGUGCGUCCAAGUCCUUCUUGAACGGGGCCACAGCCCAUAGAGGGUGCCAGGCCCGUAGUGACCGCUGCCGAUCGCGGGAGGAUCUCUCCUCAGUGUCGGGUUGCUUGAGAGUGCAGCCCUAAGUGGGUGGUAAACUCCAUCUAAGGCUAAAUAUGACCACGAGACCGAUAGCGAACAAGUACCGUGAGGGAAAGUUGAAAAGCACUUUGAAGAGAGAGUUCAAGAGUACGUGAAACCGUUCAGGGGUAAACCUGAGAAGCCCGAAAGGUCGAAUGGGGAAAUUCAUUCGCGUUUCGGCCGUCGGCGUUGGAUGGUCGCGUGACGGAUGGCGUACGCGUCGUCCGCGCCUUUCGUCCUUCGAACCGGCGUCGAACGCGUGCACUUUUCCCCUAGUAGGACGUCGCGAUCCGUUGGGUGUCGGUCUACGGCUCGCGGUGGAGCCCGUGCGGUCGUUUCGGCGUAUCGCACGGACCCGCGGUGUCCCGGCCGACUCGCUCGACGGUAUACAGAUGGCGCGGGGCCGCUACACAGUUAGCGUUCGAC